RNAcentral lists this ribosomal RNA (498 nucleotides) under uncultured bacterium. Its description in RNAcentral is "bacterial SSU rRNA". It matches the Rfam family "Bacterial small subunit ribosomal RNA", at positions 28 to 516 of the family's 1533-position model. The record is from RNAcentral.
GAUGAACGCUAGCUACAGGCUUAACACAUGCAAGUCGAGGGGCAGCGGGAUUGAAGCUUGCUUCAAUUGCCGGCGACCGGCGCACGGGUGAGUAACGCGUAUCCAACCUUCCGUACACUCAGGGAUAGCCUUUCGAAAGAAAGAUUAAUACCUGAUGGUAUGAUGAGAUUGCAUGAUAGCAUCAUUAAAGAUUUAUCGGUGUACGAUGGGGAUGCGUUCCAUUAGGUAGUAGGCGGGGUAACGGCCCACCUAGCCGACGAUGGAUAGGGGUUCUGAGAGGAAGGUCUCCCACAUUGGAACUGAGACACGGUCCAAACUCCUACGGGAGGCAGCAGUGAGGAAUAUUGGUCAAUGGACGAGAGUCUGAACCAGCCAAGUAGCGUGAAGGAUGACUGCCCUAUGGGUUGUAAACUUCUUUUAUACGGGAAUAAAGUUAGCCACGUGUGGUUUUUGUAUGUACCGUAUGAAUAAGGAUCGGCUAACUCCGUGCCAGCAGCC